This 1214-nucleotide long non-coding RNA is filed under the name Linum usitatissimum (flax). RNAcentral describes it as "long non-coding RNA (LUSI_LNC006750)". Lineage: Eukaryota; Viridiplantae; Streptophyta; Magnoliopsida; Malpighiales; Linaceae. The record is from RNAcentral.
GAGGGGAAGGCGGAGCCGACGAGGCGGAGAUGGAUAGAGAGAGGGAGGGAGAGGGAUAGGAGGGAGGAGAUCAAAGAAUUGACGGUGUUUGUGGAGUCGGGAAGGGAAGAGAGGGAUUUCUUGAGGGAGGAAGGGAGAGAUCCGAAGGUAUCGUUAGAGGCUUGUGGGUCGAUGUGGGAUUGGGUGGUGAGGAAGGUGUCGAGGCCGGGGACCGGGUCGGCGGCGGAGGCGGCGACGGAGAGGAGGAGAAGCAGGAAGACGGUGGUGGUGGGCAUUCUUUUCGGGGGAUGGGACUGGAGAGAAAGAAAGGAGUGACUGAGUGCAAAUUUACAGAUUUGACGGAGAUGUAGAAGACAUGAGGAGGGUAUUUUGGGAAAAGGGCAGAAUUGGAUGGAUCGUCACCUCUCAAGUAAGGGGAUUGCUAUAUAACACUUUAUAUUUUACCGCAAAACGUCAUAACAUUGUCCUAACAUCUGAAUUCGGUAGUUGAAGUGACCUAAACGUCCCUGAAAUAGUAAAAUUACAAUUUCGUUAUAAGAUGCUGAAAAUCGAAGAAUUGUUAUACCACUUGAAACGACCAAUUCAUUCACCUUAAUUCGCAUGACUAAUUACUAAUUUUGAAGUACUAAAUAAUUAAUUAUUAAAUUACCAAGUAUUUAAUUACCAAAUAGAUUGUUACUAUAAUUAAUUAAACUUAAUAAUUCACCUUACUUAUCAUGACUAGUUACAUUUUAAUAAUAAAAACAUAAAAAUUAUUAAAAAAAUAUUUGGCGUCGGCAUUGAACGCCCACAACUAGGGAUGGCAACGGGGCGGAUCAGGGCCGCGUAAGGGGUACCCGUUCCCCGCCCACCGAUUGCGGCGGGGGGGUGUGCCCCGGCCCCCCCCCCCCCCCCCCCGGCGGCCGCUUCGCGCACACUACGNNNNNNNNNNNNNNNNNNNNNNNNNNNNNNNNNNNNNNNNNNNNCGAAGGUAUCGUUAGAGGCUGGUGGGUCGAUGUGGGAUUGGGUGGUGAGGAAGGUGUCGAGGCCGGGGACCGGGUCGGCGGCGGAGGCGGCGACGGAGAGGAGGAGAAGCAGGAAGACGGUGGUGGUGGGCAUUCUUUUCGGGGGAUGGGACUGGAGAGAAAGAAAGGAGUGACUGAGUGCAAAUUUACAGAUUUGACGGAGAUGUAGAAGACAUGAGGAGGGUAUUUUGGGAAAAGGGCAGAAUUGGA